UUUCAGGUUAAGUACGGAGCUCUGGAACGAAUUAAGUACUUAACCCGAGGUGCCACUGUAUUAUAAACAGCACGGUGCCACUCGAAGGCAGUUGUGGCCACAGCACAACUGUAAACCCCACGCCCCGGCGGCUCACCAGCAUCGUCCUCGAGGGAGCACGACCCUCCAAAAACAGGGGCAGUCUACCGUCCCGAUCACAGCUGAGGCUUGAGGUGCUGCUAAGCUUCACUCGCCUCCUUCAGACCAGGGUAACAGAGUUACUGCGUCACACAUGUCCGGAUCACUUUUGGAUCUUAGGAGUCAGCAGUUACUCUGCCUUUAUGGUGCCUGGAAUGGAUGCAUCAAACAGAUUUAAGUGUGAACAUGAAGUAAUUCACACCACUAUUUUCUAACUACAACAUGACCCUUUGGCAAUCUUAUUCUGGAGGAUAUCCACAUGGAACCCAUUUUUGUGACUGAAUCAAAAUAAGCCCAGCAGCCUGUGCAAACGAGAUGUCACACAAACUGGACAGAAAUCACUUCAUGGGCUUUGGAAGAAGCAUAAAUUCAAGCAGGUAAUGGAGAUGGUGUGAUGGAGAACAUUUCACAUAAGGACAGAAGAUUAUCUCUACUAGAUCAGAUUAAAGGCCUAUUUAGUCCAGCAUCCUGUUUUCUGCAGGGGCUAGCCACAUGGCUGUGGGAAGCCAACAGACAAAAGCCCUCUCCUGUUCUUUCUCAGGAAUUGGUACGCAUGCCUCUGAUAUAUAACUAUCAUGUCUAGAAACCAUUUACCUGCUGUAUUUGUGCCUAUCAGAUAAAGGCAGGGACAAUCAGACUUUACUCUUGCAUAGAUUAUGAUAAUGAUUUUACUAGAAUCUCCAUUGUGUUUCUAAUACUGUUACAAUGAUGCUCUUGGUUAAGCAUAACCAAGGAACUGCAUUAGGGGUAACAGCCUGUCAGUGAUCUCCUCUUUUUAUGAACUUCGACUUUACUUGCAAAGCAGACAUGACCGGAAUCACUGUGAAAAUUGGAUUGCAAGAAAUGAUAAUACUGAAACUAUUUGGCUGUCAAAAGAUCGCUAAAUGCAGAGACUUUCUCUGCUUGAAGUAUCAUAAGCAAGCUAAUAAAGUUUGCACCAAUCAUCCUUGAAUGUGGACUUUGAAAGCUCUGGCAAAUACUUUCCCCCUAGUACCUUCUCUUUAGUUACACAAUAAUAUUGACCAGAGGAGGAAAUUACUUGAAUUCCCCAAGUGACCAUGAUGCACAAAAACAUGGCAAUUCAAUUUCA
Molecule: long non-coding RNA, 1267 nt
Organism: Podarcis muralis (Common wall lizard)
Lineage: Eukaryota; Metazoa; Chordata; Lepidosauria; Squamata; Lacertidae
Source: RefSeq, a predicted model, not a curated record